CCUACGGGUGGCAGCAGUGAGGAAUAUUGGUCAAUGGGCUUACGCCUGAACCAGCCAAGUCGCGUGAGGGAAGACUGCCCUAUGGGUUGUAAACCUCUUUUGUCAGGGAGCAACGCCGGCUACGUGUAGCCGGACUGAUAGUACCUGAAGAAAAAGCAUCGGCAAACUCAGUGCCAGCAGCCGCGGUAAUACGGAGGAUGCGAGCGUAAUCCGGUUUUAUUGGGUUAAAGGGGUGCGUAGGCGGAUUGCCAAGUCAGCGGUAAAGUCGCGGGGCUAAACCUCGCACCGCCGUUGAAACUGGCGUUCUUGAGUGGGCGAGAGGUAUGCGGAA
Molecule: ribosomal RNA, 331 nt
Filed under: uncultured bacterium
Lineage: Bacteria
Description: partial 16S ribosomal RNA
Rfam family: Bacterial small subunit ribosomal RNA
Source: RNAcentral